GAAGGSUGCAAGCGUUACUCGGAAUUACUGGGCGUAAAGCGUGCGUAGGUGGUUCGUUAAGUCUGCCGUGAAAGCCCCGGGCUCAACCUGGGAAUGGCGAUGGAUACUGGCGGGCUAGAGUGCGGUAGAGGAGAGUGGAAUUCCCGGUGUAGCAGUGAAAUGCGUAGAGAUCGGGAGGAACAUCAGUUGCGAAGGCGGCUCUCUGGACCAGCACUGACACUGAGGCACGAAAGCGUGGGGAGCAAACAGGAUUAGAUACCCUGGUAGUCCACGCCCUAAACGAUGCGAACUGGACGUUGGGAGCAACUAGGCUCUCAGUGUCGAAGCUAACGCGUUAAGUUCGCCGCCUGGGGAGUACGGUCGCAAGACUG
This 371-nucleotide ribosomal RNA is filed under the name uncultured bacterium. RNAcentral's name for it is "bacterial SSU rRNA". It matches the Rfam family "Bacterial small subunit ribosomal RNA", at positions 527 to 896 of the family's 1533-position model. The record is from RNAcentral.